GACGAACGCUGGCGGCGUGCCUAAUACAUGCAAGUCGAGCGAACAGACGCGGAGCUUGCUCCUCUGACGUUAGCGGCGGACGGGUGAGUCACACGUGGAUACCCUACCUAUAAGACUGGGAUAACUUCGGGAAACCGGCGCUAAUCCCGGAUGAUCUACUGAACCGCAUGGUUCAAUAGUGAAUGUCGGCUUUUGUGUCACUUAUAGCUGGAUCCGCGCCGCAUUAGCUAGUUGGUAAGGUAACGGCUUUCCAAGGCUACCAUGCGUAGACGAACUGAGAGAGUGGUCGGCCACACGGGAGGUUGGACGGCGUCCAGAGUCCUGCGGGACGGCGCAGAAGGGAAUGGUACGCAAUGGGCGAGAGCAUGACGGAGCGAGGGGAAGUGAGUUGUGAAGGUCUUCGGAGCGGAAAACUGUGUUACGAGGGAAGAACAAAUGUGGAAGUAACUAUGCAGGGAUUGACGGUACCGAAUCAGGAAGCCACGGCUAACUACGUG
RNAcentral lists this ribosomal RNA (497 nucleotides) under uncultured bacterium. Its description in RNAcentral is "partial 16S ribosomal RNA". It matches the Rfam family "Bacterial small subunit ribosomal RNA", at positions 28 to 507 of the family's 1533-position model. The record is from RNAcentral.